This 442-nucleotide ribosomal RNA is filed under the name uncultured bacterium. RNAcentral describes it as "partial 16S ribosomal RNA". It matches the Rfam family "Bacterial small subunit ribosomal RNA", at positions 338 to 795 of the family's 1533-position model. The record is from RNAcentral.
CCUACGGGUGGCAGCAGUGGGGAAUAUUGGGCAAUGGGCGCAAGCCUGACCCAGCAACGCCGCGUGAAGGAAGAAGGCUUUCGGGUUGUAAACUUCUUUUGUCAGGGAAGAGUAGAAGACGGUACCUGACGAAUAAGCUACGGCUAACCACGUGCCAUCAGCUGCGUGAAUCCGUAGGUGGCAAGCGUUGUCCGGAUUUACUGGGUGUAAAGGGCUUGUUGGCGGGUUGACAAGUCAGAUGUGAAAUGCUGCGGCUUAACCGCAGAACUGCAGUUGAAACUGUUGAUCUUGAGUACUGGAGAGGCAGACGGAAUUCCUAGUGUAGCGGUGAAAUGCGUAGAUAUGAGGAGGAACACCAGUGGCGAAGGCAGUCUGCUGGACAGCAACUGACGGUGAGGCGCGAAAGCGUGGGGAGCAAACAGGAUUAGAUACCCGGGUAGUC